GAUGAACGCUGGCGGCGUGCCUAAUACAUGCAAGUCGAGCGAACAGAUGAGGAGCUUGCUCCUCUGACGUUAGCGGCGGACGGGUGAGUAACACGUGGAUAACCUACCUAUAAGACUGGGAUAACUUCGGGAAACCGGAGCUAAUACCGGAUAAUAUAUUGAACCGCAUGGUUCAAUAGUGAAAGACGGUUUUGCUGUCACUUAUAGAUGGAUCCGCGCCGCAUUAGCUAGUUGGUAAGGUAACGGCUUACCAAGGCAACGAUGCGUAGCCGACCUGAGAGGGUGAUCGGCCACACUGGAACUGAGACACGGUCCAGACUCCGACGGGAGGCAGCAGUAGGGAAUCUUCCGCAAUGGGCGAAAGCCUGACGGAGCAACGCCGCGUGAGUGAUGAAGGUCUUCGGAUCGUAAAACUCUGUUAUUAGGGAAGAACAAAUGUGUAAGUAACUAUGCACGUCUUGACGGUACCUAAUCAGAAAGCCACGGCUAACUACGU
RNAcentral lists this ribosomal RNA (496 nucleotides) under uncultured bacterium. RNAcentral's name for it is "partial 16S ribosomal RNA". It matches the Rfam family "Bacterial small subunit ribosomal RNA", at positions 28 to 506 of the family's 1533-position model. The record is from RNAcentral.